AGCAGCCGCGGUAAUUCCAGCUCCAAUAGCGUAUAUUAAAGUUGUUGCAGUUAAAAAGCUCGUAGUUGAAUUUCGGGAUCAAUAUGUCGGUCGUGCCUUCGGUACGUACUGGCAUCAUUGAUUUCUCCCUUCUGACGAACCACGAUGUCAUUAAUUUGGUGUCAUGGGGAGUCAGGACUGUUACUUUGAAAAAUUAGAGUGUUUAAAGCAGGCUCACGCUUGAAUACAUUAGCAUGGAAUAAUGAAAUAGGACGUUUGACCCUAUUUUGUUGGUUUCUAGGAUCAACGUAAUGAUUAAUAGGGAUAGUUGGGGGCAUUAGUAUUCAAUUGUCAGAGGUGAAAUUCUUGGAUUUAUUGAAGACUAACUACUGCGAAAGCAUUUGCCAAGGAUGUUUUCAUUAAUCAAGAACGAAAGUUAGGGGAUCGAAGACGAUCAGAUACCGUCGUAGUCUUAACCAUAAACUAUGCCGACUAGGGAUCGGGAUGAUGUUAAUUUUUUAAUGUACUUCAAUUUCGGACC
Molecule: ribosomal RNA, 520 nt
Filed under: uncultured Glomus
Lineage: Eukaryota; Fungi; Glomeromycota; Glomeromycetes; Glomerales; Glomeraceae
Description: SSU rRNA
Rfam family: Eukaryotic small subunit ribosomal RNA
Source: RNAcentral